CCUACGGGCGGCAGCAGUAGGGAAUAUUGCUCAAUGGGGGAAACCCUGAAGCAGCAACGCCGCGUGGAGGAUGAAGGUUUUCGGAUUGUAAACUCCUUUUGUUAGAGAAGAUAAUGACGGUAUCUAACGAAUAAGCACCGGCUAACUCCGUGACAGGAGGCGCGGGAAUACGGAGGGUGCAAGCGUUACUCGGAAUCAAGGGGCGGAAAGAGCGCGGAGGCGGGAUAGCAAGUCAGAUGUGAAAUCCUAGGGUUUAACCAUAGAACUGCAUUUGAAACUGGUAGUCUAGAGUUUGAGAGAGGUAGGUGGAAUUCUUGGUGUAGGGGUAAAAUCCGUAGAGAUCAAGAGGAAUACUCAUUGCGAAGGCGACCUGCUGGAUCAUCACUGACGCUGAGGCGCGAAAGCGUGGGGAGCAAACAGGAUUAGAUACCCGAGUAGUC
This 440-nucleotide ribosomal RNA is filed under the name uncultured bacterium. RNAcentral's name for it is "partial 16S ribosomal RNA". It matches the Rfam family "Bacterial small subunit ribosomal RNA", at positions 338 to 795 of the family's 1533-position model. The record is from RNAcentral.